This is a long non-coding RNA of Haliotis rufescens (red abalone), 590 nucleotides long. RefSeq lists it as uncharacterized. The record is from RefSeq and is a predicted model, not a curated record. NCBI's taxonomy places the organism in Eukaryota, Metazoa, Mollusca, Gastropoda, Lepetellida, Haliotidae. The transcript is spliced from 2 exons.
UGGAAGAGGUUUCUACGAGAGUAUCUACCAACUCUCAUGCGUAGGAGCAAGUGGCGUACACAGGGGAGACAACUCCAGAUAGGAGAUAUUGUUCUGCUCAUGGACAACAAUGCACCAAGAGGAAAAUGGGACUUGGCAAGAAUCGUUGAUUUAUUUCCAGGAAAGGAUGGUAUAAUCAGAAAUGUCAGAGUUCGCACCAAGAACGGUGAAUACAACAGAUCAGUACAGAAAUGCUGUCUGAUCCUGGAAUAUUUCACAUAGACUGUUUUCAGAUGGCACUUGGUUGCCCCCGGAGGAUUUGGUUGAUAUGACAUUUGAAUCUGAAAUAACAUAAUUAAUUUCAUUUAUGCCAAGAAAGACAUAUUUUAGUUUGCCGGUUUGAUCAAGCCGUUUUGGUAUAUGUACUGUGCUCCAAAAUAAUGAUAACUCCCUGUUGUGUAUUGCGAGCUCCAGCGAUGAGCGUGAGUGACCCGCGAUGGUCAAAUGUGUGAGAAUUUCUGUGUGUUGCAGAGAGUUAGCGGCUGAGCACUAAUCUUCAGAACAUAUUUAAUGUUACGAAGGACUCAGCCAAUAAAGAGUGGUGAACACUA